UGUCUCCAGGGCAACCGUGGCUUUAGAUUGUUACUGUGGUUGUGUGUUGGUAACAGUCUACAGCCAUGGUCGCUUGGGCUAGACACAC
Molecule: microRNA precursor, 88 nt
Organism: Chelonoidis abingdonii (Abingdon island giant tortoise)
Lineage: Eukaryota; Metazoa; Chordata; Testudines; Testudinidae
Source: Ensembl